UACUCUAAGGAGGAAGAAAAGCUGAUCGUUGAGCUCAUUCGUUCCUUCUCUGUUCCUCCAGGGAAAAAUCUUGCCCAUCAGGUUUACUUUUCUCCCUCUUUUAUUUUCAUCGCGAAUUUGGGGACAUUUUAUUUAUUUUUCUCGUGGACUUCAUUUUGGUGGUCAAAUGCUUGAGAGCGAUACGUAAUCUGUUUUUGAUGUGCUCAAUCAGGUGAAUUAUGCAUAUAAAAGGACGAUUUAGUUAGGAAUUUGCUUUAGUUAUUACUAAAUUCUUGGUUUUAUUACCUCAUAUUGGCAAUUUUACAGCUGCUAAGUUUUUUUUCUUAAUAUUUUAAAUUCUAAAUCCUAUUAAUGAGUACCUGCAACGCCAAUUUAUAGCUACAAGCUUGGCAGUUUUAUCAUGAACACGUAAAGGAUGAUUGUGGUUCCGUUUAUUUGUCUCUUGAUUACCAACAAUUUCGAAAUUCAUGUGAUAUUGAAGAAUUCUACGCAAAAUUGGAAGAUAAACCUAAAAUAGCUCUUUCCACCAUGAGUGCUGCUAUUCACCAGGUUUUAUUAAACAAUCCGGAUUUCUACUUGGAGGAAGGAACGAAGAUUAAUAUCCGUCUGCACAACUACCCUGAAUCCAUGAUUGUUUUGAAGAACUUAAAGGCAGCAUAUAGUGACAAACUGGUAUCUGUGAGGGGUACAGUGGUAAAGGCUAGCACUGUCAAGCCUCUUGUAAUUAAAAUGACUU
Hibiscus syriacus is the source of this 736-nucleotide long non-coding RNA. RefSeq lists it as uncharacterized. The transcript is spliced from 3 exons. The record is from RefSeq and is a predicted model, not a curated record. NCBI's taxonomy places the organism in Eukaryota, Viridiplantae, Streptophyta, Magnoliopsida, Malvales, Malvaceae.